GAGCGGCCCAUCUCAUCUUGGAAACGUUGGUUCAUCCGGUCGAAGGGGGCGGCGGCGGCGGCGGCGGCGGCGGCGACGGGGGCGACCUGGCCCGCCGCCUCUCCUCCGUCCUCCUCCGCCCUCCCGCAUUCCUCCAAUGGCGGCCGCAGCCGGGCUGAGGCCAGGAUUUCCGCUUCGGGAUCCUCCGCCGGUUCGUCUGCUCGCCGCCCGAUCAUCGGCGUCCUCGGCGGCGCCUCCCCCGUCUCCACGGUGGCCUUCCUGGAGAAGCUCGUGAGAUGGAGCUCCGAGAAACGGCAAGGAGGAGGAGGAGAAGGAGAAGGAGAGUACCUCCCCUUCAUCGUCUGCAGCGACCCGGCACUCAGCAGGAAGCUCUCACCCAGAGAAGCCAAGGGCUCUUCCCCCCCUCGUCUUCUCCGAUCCAGAAAAGAAACCCGCCUCGAUGUGGAUCGGGAGGGCGCCGUGGAGGGUCU
Molecule: long non-coding RNA, 470 nt
Filed under: Spirodela polyrhiza (greater duckweed)
Lineage: Eukaryota; Viridiplantae; Streptophyta; Magnoliopsida; Alismatales; Araceae
Description: long non-coding RNA (SPOL_LNC002557)
Source: RNAcentral